This 657-nucleotide ribosomal RNA is filed under the name uncultured Gammaproteobacteria bacterium. RNAcentral's name for it is "bacterial SSU rRNA". It matches the Rfam family "Bacterial small subunit ribosomal RNA", at positions 827 to 1482 of the family's 1533-position model. The record is from RNAcentral. Lineage: Bacteria; Pseudomonadati; Pseudomonadota; Gammaproteobacteria.
UCUCAACUCGGAGAUCAGUGUCGAAGCUAACGCGUUAAGUUCGCCGCCUGGGGAGUACGGUCGCAAGACUGAAACUCAAAGGAAUUGACGGGGGCCCGCACAAGCGGUGGAGUAUGUGGUUUAAUUCGAUGCAACGCGAAGAACCUUACCUGGCCUUGACAUGUCCGGAAUCCUGCAGAGAUGCGGGAGUGCCUUCGGGAAUCGGAACACAGGUGCUGCAUGGCUGUCGUCAGCUCGUGUCGUGAGAUGUUGGGUUAAGUCCCGCAACGAGCGCAACCCUUGUCCUUAGUUGCCAGCGAGUAAUGUCGGGAACUCUAAGGAGACUGCCGGUGACAAACCGGAGGAAGGUGGGGAUGACGUCAAGUCCUCAUGGCCCUUACGGCCAGGGCUACACACGUACUACAAUGGUCGGUACAGAGGGUUGCGAUACCGCGAGGUGGAGCCAAUCCCAGAAAGCCGAUCCCAGUCCGGAUCGGAGUCUGCAACUCGACUCCGUGAAGUCGGAAUCGCUAGUAAUCGCGGAUCAGCUAUGCCGCGGUGAAUACGUUCCCGGGCCUUGUACACACCGCCCGUCACACCAUGGGAGUGGGUUGCUCCAGAAGGCGUUAGUCUAACCGCAAGGAGGACGACGCCCACGGAGUGUUCAUGACUGGGGUG